This 2926-nucleotide ribosomal RNA is filed under the name Salmonella enterica subsp. enterica serovar Enteritidis. RNAcentral's name for it is "bacterial LSU rRNA". It matches the Rfam family "Bacterial large subunit ribosomal RNA". The record is from RNAcentral. Lineage: Bacteria; Pseudomonadati; Pseudomonadota; Gammaproteobacteria; Enterobacterales; Enterobacteriaceae.
GGGUUGUGAGGUUAAGCGACUAAGCGUACACGGUGGAUGCCCUGGCAGUCAGAGGCGAUGAAGGGCGUGCUAAUCUGCGAUAAGCGCCGGUAAGGUGAUAUGAACCGUUAUAACCGGCGAUACCCGAAUGGGGAAACCCAGUGUGAUUCGUCACACUAUCAUUAACUGAAUCCAUAGGUUAAUGAGGCGAACCGGGGGAACUGAAACAUCUAAGUACCCCGAGGAAAAGAAAUCAACCGAGAUUCCCCCAGUAGCGGCGAGCGAACGGGGAGGAGCCCAGAGCCUGAAUCAGCAUGUGUGUUAGUGGAAGCGUCUGGAAAGGCGCGCGAUACAGGGUGACAGCCCCGUACACAAAAGCGCAUGUGCUGUGAGCUCGAUGAGUAGGGCGGGACACGUGGUAUCCUGUCUGAAUAUGGGGGGACCAUCCUCCAAGGCUAAAUACUCCUGACUGACCGAUAGUGAACCAGUACCGUGAGGGAAAGGCGAAAAGAACCCCGGCGAGGGGAGUGAAAAAGAACCUGAAACCGUGUACGUACAAGCAGUGGGAGCACAGGUUUACCUGUGUGACUGCGUACCUUUUGUAUAAUGGGUCAGCGACUUAUAUUCUGUAGCAAGGUUAACCGAAUAGGGGAGCCGGAGGGAAACCGAGUCUUAAUUGGGCGUUAAGUUGCAGGGUAUAGACCCGAAACCCGGUGAUCUAGCCAUGGGCAGGUUGAAGGUUGGGUAACACUAACUGGAGGACCGAACCGACUAAUGUUGAAAAAUUAGCGGAUGACCUGUGGCUGGGGGUGAAAGGCCAAUCAAACCGGGAGAUAGCUGGUUCUCCCCGAAAGCUAUUUAGGUAGCGCCUCGUGAAUUCAUCUCCGGGGGUAGAGCACUGUUUCGGCUAGGGGGCCAUCCCGGCUUACCAACCCGAUGCAAACUGCGAAUACCGGAGAAUGUUAUCACGGGAGACACACGGCGGGUGCUAACGUCCGUCGUGAAGAGGGAAACAACCCAGACCGCCAGCUAAGGUCCCAAAGUCAUGGUUAAGUGGGAAACGAUGUGGGAAGGCCCAGACAGCCAGGAUGUUGGCUUAGAAGCAGCCAUCAUUUAAAGAAAGCGUAAUAGCUCACUGGUCGAGUCGGCCUGCGCGGAAGAUGUAACGGGGCUAAACCAUGCACCGAAGCUGCGGCAGCGACACUGUGUGUUGUUGGGUAGGGGAGCGUUCUGUAAGCCUGUGAAGGUGUGUCGUGAGGCAUGCUGGAGGUAUCAGAAGUGCGAAUGCUGACAUAAGUAACGAUAAAGCGGGUGAAAAGCCCGCUCGCCGGAAGACCAAGGGUUCCUGUCCAACGUUAAUCGGGGCAGGGUGAGUCGACCCCUAAGGCGAGGCCGAAAGGCGUAGUCGAUGGGAAACGGGUUAAUAUUCCCGUACUUGGUGUUACUGCGAAGGGGGGACGGAGAAGGCUAUGUUGGCCGGGCGACGGUUGUCCCGGUUUAAGCGUGUAGGCUGGUUUUCCAGGCAAAUCCGGAAAAUCAAGGCUGAGGCGUGAUGACGAGGCACUACGGUGCUGAAGCAACAAAUGCCCUGCUUCCAGGAAAAGCCUCUAAGCAUCAGGUAACAUCAAAUCGUACCCCAAACCGACACAGGUGGUCAGGUAGAGAAUACCAAGGCGCUUGAGAGAACUCGGGUGAAGGAACUAGGCAAAAUGGUGCCGUAACUUCGGGAGAAGGCACGCUGACACGUAGGUGAAGUGAUUUACUCAUGGAGCUGAAGUCAGUCGAAGAUACCAGCUGGCUGCAACUGUUUAUUAAAAACACAGCACUGUGCAAACACGAAAGUGGACGUAUACGGUGUGACGCCUGCCCGGUGCCGGAAGGUUAAUUGAUGGGGUCAGCGCAAGCGAAGCUCCUGAUCGAAGCCCCGGUAAACGGCGGCCGUAACUAUAACGGUCCUAAGGUAGCGAAAUUCCUUGUCGGGUAAGUUCCGACCUGCACGAAUGGCGUAAUGAUGGCCAGGCUGUCUCCACCCGAGACUCAGUGAAAUUGAACUCGCUGUGAAGAUGCAGUGUACCCGCGGCAAGACGGAAAGACCCCGUGAACCUUUACUAUAGCUUGACACUGAACAUUGAGCCUUGAUGUGUAGGAUAGGUGGGAGGCUUUGAAGUGUGGACGCCAGUCUGCAUGGAGCCGACCUUGAAAUACCACCCUUUAAUGUUUGAUGUUCUAACGUGGACCCGUUACCCGGGUUGCGGACAGUGUCUGGUGGGUAGUUUGACUGGGGCGGUCUCCUCCUAAAGAGUAACGGAGGAGCACGAAGGUUGGCUAAUCCUGGUCGGACAUCAGGAGGUUAGUGCAAUGGCAUAAGCCAGCUUGACUGCGAGCGUGACGGCGCGAGCAGGUGCGAAAGCAGGUCAUAGUGAUCCGGUGGUUCUGAAUGGAAGGGCCAUCGCUCAACGGAUAAAAGGUACUCCGGGGAUAACAGGCUGAUACCGCCCAAGAGUUCAUAUCGACGGCGGUGUUUGGCACCUCGAUGUCGGCUCAUCACAUCCUGGGGCUGAAGUAGGUCCCAAGGGUAUGGCUGUUCGCCAUUUAAAGUGGUACGCGAGCUGGGUUUAGAACGUCGUGAGACAGUUCGGUCCCUAUCUGCCGUGGGCGCUGGAGAACUGAGGGGGGCUGCUCCUAGUACGAGAGGACCGGAGUGGACGCAUCACUGGUGUUCGGGUUGUCAUGCCAAUGGCACUGCCCGGUAGCUAAAUGCGGAAGAGAUAAGUGCUGAAAGCAUCUAAGCACGAAACUUGCCCCGAGAUGAGUUCUCCCUGAGACUUAGAGUCUCCUGAAGGAACGUUGAAGACGACGACGUUGAUAGGCCGGGUGUGUAAGCGCAGCGAUGCGUUGAGCUAACCGGUACUAAUGAACCGUGAGGCUUAACCUUACAACGCCGAAG